This 385-nucleotide ribosomal RNA is filed under the name uncultured bacterium. RNAcentral's name for it is "bacterial SSU rRNA". It matches the Rfam family "Bacterial small subunit ribosomal RNA", at positions 28 to 417 of the family's 1533-position model. The record is from RNAcentral.
AUUGAACGCUGGCGGCAUGCCUUACACAUGCAAGUCGAACGGCAGCACGGGGGCAACCCUGGUGGCGAGUGGCGAACGGGUGAGUAAUACAUCGGAACGUGCCCGGUAGUGGGGGAUAGCUCGGCGAAAGCCGGAUUAAUACCGCAUACGACCUGCGGGUGAAAGCGGGGAUCGCAAGACCUCGCGCUAUCGGAGCGGCCGAUGUCAGAUUAGGUUGUUGGUGGGGUAAAGGCCACCAAGCCGACGAUCUGUAGCUGGUCUGAGAGGACGACCAGCCACACUGGGACUGAGACACGGCCCAGACUCCUACGGGAGGCAGCAGUGGGGAAUCUUGCGCAAUGGGCGAAAGCCUGACGCAGCGACGCCGCGUGAGGGAUGACGGCCU